RNAcentral lists this ribosomal RNA (475 nucleotides) under uncultured bacterium. RNAcentral's name for it is "bacterial SSU rRNA". It matches the Rfam family "Bacterial small subunit ribosomal RNA", at positions 8 to 526 of the family's 1533-position model. The record is from RNAcentral.
AGAGUUUGAUCCUGGCUCAGAACGAACGCUGGCGGCAGGCUUAACACAUGCAAGUCGAACGAACUCUUCGGAGUUAGUGGCAGACGGGUGAGUAACGCGUGGGAACCUACCUUUAGGUACGGAACAACAGUUGGAAACGACUGCUAAUACCGUAUGAGCCCUAUGGGGGAAAGAUUUAUCGCCUAAGGAUGGGCCCGCGUUGGAUUAGCUAGUUGGUGGGGUAAAGGCCUACCAAGGCGACGAUCCAUAGCUGGUCUGAGAGGAUGAUCAGCCACACUGGGACUGAGACACGGCCCAGACUCCUACGGGAGGCAGCAGUGGGGAAUAUUGGACAAUGGGGGCAACCCUGAUCCAGCCAUGCCGCGUGAGUGAUGAAGGCCCUAGGGUUGUAAAGCUCUUUCAGCGAGGAGGAUAAUGACGUUAACCGUAGAAGAAGCCCCGGCUAACUUCGUGCCAGCAGCCGCCGCGGUAAUAC